CCUACGGGUGGCAGCAGUGAGGAAUAUUGGUCAAUGGACGAGAGUCUGAACCAGCCACGUAGCGUGAAGGAUGACUGCCCUAUGGGUUGUAAGCUUCUUUUGUAUGGGAAUAAAACGUUCCACGCGUGGGGUUUUGGGUGUACCAGAUGAAUAAGGAUCGGCUAACUACGUGCCAGCAGCCGCGGUAAUACGGAGGAUCCGAGCGUUAUCCGGAUUUAUUGGGUUUAAAGGGAGCGUAGGGGGAUUGUUAAGUCAGUUGUGAAAGUUUGCGGCUUAACCGUAAAAUUGCAGUUGAAACUGGCAGUCUUGAGUACGGUAGAGGUAGGCGGAAUUCGUGGUGUAGCGGUGAAAUGCUUAGAUAUCACGAAGAACUCCGAUUGCGAAGGCAGUUCACUGGACUGCAACUGACACUGAGGCUCGAAAGUGUGGGUAUCAAACAGGAUUAGAUACCCGGGUAGUC
Molecule: ribosomal RNA, 460 nt
Filed under: uncultured bacterium
Lineage: Bacteria
Description: partial 16S ribosomal RNA
Rfam family: Bacterial small subunit ribosomal RNA
Source: RNAcentral